GAUGAACGCUGGCGGCGUGCCUAAUACAUGCAAGUCGAGCGAACGGACGAGAAGCUUGCUUCUCUGAUGUUAGCGGCGGACGGGUGAGUAACACGUGUAUAACCUACCUAUAAGACUGGGAUAACUUCGGGAAACCGGAGCUAAUACCGGAUAAUAUUUUGAACCGCAUGGUUCAAAAGUGAAAGACGGUCUUGCUGUCACUUAUAGAUGGAUCCGCGCUGCAUUAGCUAGUUGGUAAGGUAACGGCUUACCAAGGCAACGAUGCAUAGCCGACCUGAGAGGGUGAUCGGCCACACUGGAACUGAGACACGGUCCAGACUCCUACGGGAGGCAGCAGUAGGGAAUCUUCCGCAAUGGGCGAAAGCCUGACGGAGCAACGCCGCGUGAGUGAUGAAGGUCUUCGGAUCGUAAAACUCUGUUAUUAGGGAAGAACAUCUGUGUAAGUAAAUGUGCACAUCUUGACGGUACCUAAUCAGAAAGCAACGGCUAACUACGUG
This 497-nucleotide ribosomal RNA is filed under the name uncultured bacterium. RNAcentral's name for it is "partial 16S ribosomal RNA". It matches the Rfam family "Bacterial small subunit ribosomal RNA", at positions 28 to 507 of the family's 1533-position model. The record is from RNAcentral.